RNAcentral lists this ribosomal RNA (1036 nucleotides) under uncultured Hydrogenobaculum sp. Its description in RNAcentral is "bacterial SSU rRNA". It matches the Rfam family "Bacterial small subunit ribosomal RNA", at positions 195 to 1223 of the family's 1533-position model. The record is from RNAcentral. Lineage: Bacteria; Pseudomonadati; Aquificota; Aquificia; Aquificales; Aquificaceae.
AGGCUGUCAAAGGCUUCGGCUCAAAGAGGGGUUCGCGUCCUAUCAGGUAGUUGGUGGGGUAAUGGCCUACCAAGCCAAUGACGGGUAGCUGGUCUUAGAGGACGAUCAGCCACAGCGGGACUGAGACACGGCCCGCACCCCUACGGGGGGCAGCAGUGGGGAAUCGUGGGCAAUGGGCGCAAGCCUGACCCCGCAAUGCCGCGUGAGGGAAGAAGCCCUUCGGGGUGUAAACCUCUGUCAGAUGGGAAGAUGGGACUAGGGGCUAAUACCUCCUAGUCUUGACGGUACCAUCAGAGGAAGGGACGGCUAACUACGUGCCAGCAGCCGCGGUAAUACGUAGGUCCCGAGCGUUGCGCGAUGUUACUGGGCGUAAAGCGUCCGUAGCCGGUUUCGUAAGCGGAUUGUCAAAGCCCGAAGCUCAACUUCGGCAAGGCAUUCCGAACUGCGUUACUUGAGUCCUGUUCAGGUAGGCGGAGUUCCCGGUGUAGCGGUGAAGUGCGUAGAUAUCGGGAGGAACACCAGUGGCGAAGGCGGCCUACUGGGACGGUACUGACGGUCAUGGACGAAAGCUGGGGGAGCAAACCGGAUUAGAUACCCGGGUAGUCCCAGCCGUAAACGAUGGAUGUUAGGUGUAGUGAUAACUUCGCUGCACCCCAGCUAACGCGUUAAACAUCCCGCCUGGGGAGUACGGGCGCAAGCCUGAAACUCAAAGGAAUUGGCAGGGGCCCGCACAACCGGUGGAGCGUCUGGUUUAAUUCGAUGCUAACCGAAAAACCUUACCAGGGUUUGAAAUGGUAGGAAAGGCUGUCGAAAGAUAGCUGUGUCUCCCUUUUGGGAGAAAUCCUACCACAGGUGGUGCAUGGCCGUCGUCAGCUCGUGUUGUGAGAUGUUGGGUUAGUCCCGCAACGAGCGCAACCCUUGUCCUUAUUUGCUUCCUCGUAUGAGGUGCUCUAUAAGGAGACUGCCGGCGACAAGCCGGAGGAAGGAGGGGACGACGUCAGGUCAGUAUGCCCUUUAUGCCCUGGGCUACACAGGC